RNAcentral lists this ribosomal RNA (395 nucleotides) under uncultured bacterium. RNAcentral's name for it is "partial 16S ribosomal RNA". It matches the Rfam family "Bacterial small subunit ribosomal RNA", at positions 523 to 918 of the family's 1533-position model. The record is from RNAcentral.
AUACGUAGGGUGCAAGCGUUAAUCGGAAUUACUGGGCGUAAAGCGUGCGCAGGCGGUUCGGAAAGAAGGAUGUGAAAUCCCAGGGCUCAACCUUGGAACUGCAUUCUUAACUACCGAACUAGAGUAUGUCAGAGGGGGGUAGCAUUCCGCGUGUAGCAGUGAAAUGCGUAGAUAUGCGGAGGAAUACCGAUGGCGAAGGCAGCCCCCUGGGAUAAUACUGACGCUCAUGCACGAAAGCGUGGGUAGCAAACAGGAUUAGAUACCCUGGUAGUCCACGCCCUAAACGAUGUCAACUAGCUGUUGGGCCCUUCGGGGCUUAGUAGCGUAGCUAACGCGUGAAGUUGACCGCCUGGGGAGUACGGUCGCAAGAUUAAAACUCAAAUGAAUUGACGGGG